GUAUAAGCAUUAUACAGCGAAACUGCGAAUGGCUCAUUAUAUAAGUUAUCGUUUAUUUGAUAGUACCUUACUACUUGGAUAACCGUGGUAAUUCUAGAGCUAAUACACGCUAAAAAUCCCGACUUCGGAAGGGAUGUAUUUAUUAGAUUAAAAACCAAUGCCCUCUGGGCUCCUUGGUGAUUCAUGAUAACUUCUCGAAUCGCAUGGCCUUGCGCCGGCGAUGGUUCAUUCAAAUUUCUUCCCUAUCAACUUUCGAUGUUUGGGUAGUGGCCAAACAUGGUUGCAACGGGUAACGGAGGGUUAGGGCUCGACCCCGGAGAAGGAGCCUGAGAAACGGCUACUACAUCCAAGGAAGGCAGCAGGCGCGCAAAUUACCCAAUCCCGAUUCGGGGAGGUAGUGACAAUAAAUACUGAUACAGGGCUCUUUUGGGUCUUGUAAUUGGAAUGAGUACAAUUUAAAUCCCUUAACGAGGAACAAUUGGAGGGCAAGUCUGGGCCCGCCAGCC
RNAcentral lists this ribosomal RNA (506 nucleotides) under Pochonia chlamydosporia. RNAcentral's name for it is "SSU rRNA". It matches the Rfam family "Eukaryotic small subunit ribosomal RNA", at positions 63 to 575 of the family's 1831-position model. Lineage: Eukaryota; Fungi; Ascomycota; Sordariomycetes; Hypocreales; Clavicipitaceae. The record is from RNAcentral.